RNAcentral lists this ribosomal RNA (1816 nucleotides) under uncultured Coltricia. RNAcentral describes it as "eukaryotic LSU rRNA". The stretch from base 911 to 1816 matches the Rfam family "Eukaryotic large subunit ribosomal RNA", at positions 1 to 887 of the family's 3401-position model. The record is from RNAcentral. Lineage: Eukaryota; Fungi; Basidiomycota; Agaricomycetes; Hymenochaetales; Hymenochaetaceae.
CCUUUGUCUCUUUGCCCCUUUGAUGCUGGCAGCAAAAAGCUUUUUUUUUUACUUUUUUGUUGUAAUGUGCUCNAGGAUCCUUUGGACAAGGGAGGAUGCCCUUCUACUUUCAAAUCUACUCACUUUUUUAACACCUGUGCACCUUUAAAUAAAGGCAAAAGUCUUAUUUUGCUUGGGGGGGUGGGAUUCANUCUUUCUGGUUGGGUACUAUUAUUGCNUAUUGGUGUUAUGCCCUUGGCAGGUUUUUUAUAACUUGGCGGGUGUGGGUCCUUAANUUGAUCUGCUGAAGGAUCGACAUAUCCCAAAGUGGAAAAAGUCAACAAAGGGAUUUACAAUGCNCGUGCAAUGUAUGCAAUCCUUAAANAAUAUACCCCCCANNUGGAAUGUGGGUUUUGUUCUUUACAAUAUACAAACUCUAUAAUGUCUUGUAGAAUGAAAUGCUCACUAUGAGCAAAAUGUAUGCAAAUACAACUUUCAACAAUGGAUCUCUUGGCUCUCGCAUCGAUGAAGAACGCAGCGAAAUGCGAUAAGUAAUGUGAAUUGCAGAAUUCAGUGAAUCAUCGAAUCUUUGAACACACCUUGUGCUCCUUGGAUUACCUAUGGAGCAUACCUGUUUGAGUGUCAUAUUAAUCUCAGUUUGCUCAGGUUUUUUUAAGUAAAAAUUUGAGUGAAUUGGACUUGGAGGUUUCAAUGCUGGUCUCUUUUAGGAAUCAGCUCCUCUUAAAAACAUUAGCUGGAGCGAUGAAGCAAAAGGGAAAAGGUCCUCAUUAGCACUGGUCUUUAUUGCUAUGGUGUAAUAAUUGUUUCAUCAUGGUUUUGAUCAGUGUGCAUGACUUGGGGGCUACUUUUGUAGCAUUCUCUGCUUCCAAUUGUCGGGCUUUUUAUGCUUGACAAACUUGUUUUUCUCUUUUGGCCUCAAAUCAGGUAGGACUACCCGCUGAACUUAAGCAUAUCAAUAAGCGGAGGAAAAGAAACUAACAAGGAUUCCCCUAGUAACUGCGAGUGAAGCGGGAAAAGCUCAAAUUUAAAAUCUGGCAGCUCUGCUGUCCGAGUUGUAAUCUGUAGAAGCGUUUUCUGCAUUGGACCGUGUACAAGUCUCUUGGAAUAGAGUGUCAUAGAGGGUGAGAAUCCCGUUCAUGACAUGGACUACCAAUGCUUUGUGAUACGCUCUCAAAGAGUCGAGUUGUUUGGGAAUGCAGCUCAAAAUGGGUGGUAAAUUCCAUCUAAAGCUAAAUACAGGCGAGAGACCGAUAGCGAACAAGUACCGUGAGGGAAAGAUGAAAAGCACUUUGGAAAGAGAGUUAAACAGUAUGUGAAAUUGUUGAAAGGGAAACACUUGAAGUCAGUCGCAUCCUGCAGGACUCAGCCAUGCUUUUUAUGGGCUUGGUGCAUUUCCUGUGGGAUGGGUCAACAUCAGUUUUGGUCAGUGGAUAAAGGAUGGGGGAAUGUGGCACCUUUGGGUGUGUUAUAGCCCCCUUUCAUAUACAUUGACUGGGAUUGAGGACAGCAGCAUGCCCCUUGUAGGCCAGGACCUAUCAUGUUACAUGCUUAGGAUGUUGACAAAAUGGCUUUAAGUGACCCGUCUUGAAACACGGACCAAGGAGUCUAACAUGCCUGCAAGUGUUUGGGUGGAAAACCCUUGCGCAUAAUGAAAGUGAAAGUUGGGAACCUCCGUAAGGGGGUGCACCGAUGCCCAGCCCUGAAGUUUACUGACGGUGCUGUGGUAGAGCAUGUAUGUUGGGACCCGAAAGAUGGUGAACUAUGCCUGAAUAGGGUGAAGCCAGAGGAAACUCUGGUGGAAGCUCGUAGCGAUUCU